AGCGUCGUUUGCGACGCCCAACACACAAAACAAGCGGUGAGUGCUUUGGGGUGGGGUGACUGCGUACCUUUUGUAUAAUGGGUCAGCGACUUAUAUUCUGUAGCAAGGUUAACCGUAUAGGGGAGCCGGAGGGAAACCGAGUCUUAACCGGGCGUUAAGUUGCAGGGUAUAGACCCGAAACCCGGUGAUCUAGCCAUGGGCAGGUUGAAGGUUGGGUAACACUAACUGGAGGACCGAACCGACUAAUGUUGAAAAAUUAGCGGAUGACCUGUGGCUGGGGGUGAAAGGCCAAUCAAACCGGGAGAUAGCUGGUUCUCCCCGAAAGCUAUUUAGGUAGCGCCUCGUGAAUUCAUCUCCGGGGGUAGAGCACUGUUUCGGCUAGGGGGCCAUCCCGGCUUACCAACCCGAUGCAAACUGCGAAUACCGGAGAAUGUUAUCACGGGAGACACACGGCGGGUGCUAACGUCCGUCGUGAAGAGGGAAACAACCCAGACCGCCAGCUAAGGUCCCAAAGUCAUGGUUAAGUGGGAAACGAUGUGGGAAGGCCCAGACAGCCAGGAUGUUGGCUUAGAAGCAGCCAUCAUUUAAAGAAAGCGUAAUAGCUCACUGGUCGAGUCGGCCUGCGCGGAAGAUGUAACGGGGCUAAACCAUGCACCGAAGCUGCGGCAGCGACACUAUGUGUUGUUGGGUAGGGGAGCGUUCUGUAAGCCUGUGAAGGUGGCCUGUGAGGGUUGCUGGAGGUAUCAGAAGUGCGAAUGCUGACAUAAGUAACGAUAAAGCGGGUGAAAAGCCCGCUCGCCGGAAGACCAAGGGUUCCUGUCCAACGUUAAUCGGGGCAGGGUGAGUCGACCCCUAAGGCGAGGCCGAAAGGCGUAGUCGAUGGGAAACGGGUUAAUAUUCCCGUACUUGGUGUUACUGCGAAGGGGGGACGGAGAAGGCUAUGUUGGCCGGGCGACGGUUGUCCCGGUUUAAGCGUGUAGGUGUGUGUUCCAGGUAAAUCCGGUU
This 1005-nucleotide ribosomal RNA is filed under the name Salmonella enterica. RNAcentral's name for it is "partial 23S ribosomal RNA". It matches the Rfam family "Bacterial large subunit ribosomal RNA", at positions 566 to 1547 of the family's 2925-position model. Lineage: Bacteria; Pseudomonadati; Pseudomonadota; Gammaproteobacteria; Enterobacterales; Enterobacteriaceae. The record is from RNAcentral.